CCUACGGGUGGCAGCAGUAGGGAAUAUUGCACAAUGGGCGAAAGCCUGAUGCAGCAACGCCGCGUGCGCGAUGAAGGCCUUCGGGUUGUAAAGCGCUUUUCUGGAGGAUGAGGAAGGACAGUACUCCAGGAAGAAGGAUCGGCUAACUACGUGCCAGCAGCCGCGGUAACACGUAGGAUCCGAGCGUUAUCCGAAUUUACUGGGCGUAAAGCGCGUGUAGGCGGUUCGGCAAGUUGGACGUGAAAGCUCCUGGCUCAACUGGGAGAGGUCGUUCAAAACUGCCGGGCUAGAGAGCGACAGAGGGAGGUGGAAUUCCCGGUGUAGUGGUGAAAUGCGUAGAUAUCGGGAGGAACACCAGUGGCGAAGGUGGCCUCCUGGGUCGUCUCUGACGCUCAGACGCGAAAGCUAGGGGAGCGAACGGGAUUAGAUACCCUUGUAGU
Molecule: ribosomal RNA, 440 nt
Filed under: uncultured Anaerolineae bacterium
Lineage: Bacteria; Bacillati; Chloroflexota; Anaerolineae
Description: partial 16S ribosomal RNA
Rfam family: Bacterial small subunit ribosomal RNA
Source: RNAcentral